UACGUAGGGCGCAAGCGUUGUCCGGAAUUAUUGGGCGUAAAGAGCUCGUAGGCGGUUUGUCGCGUCUGCUGUGAAAUCCCGAGGCUCAACCUCGGGCUUGCAGUGGGUACGGGCAGACUAGAGUGCGGUAGGGGAGAGUGGAAUUCCUGGUGUAGCGGUGAAAUGCGCAGAUAUCAGGAAGAACACCCGUGGCGAAAGCGGCUCUCUGGAACGGUACUGACGCUGAGACGCGAAAGCGUGGGGAGCGAACAGG
Molecule: ribosomal RNA, 253 nt
Filed under: uncultured bacterium
Lineage: Bacteria
Description: partial 16S ribosomal RNA
Rfam family: Bacterial small subunit ribosomal RNA
Source: RNAcentral